Molecule: long non-coding RNA, 1103 nt
Organism: Lethenteron reissneri (Far Eastern brook lamprey)
Lineage: Eukaryota; Metazoa; Chordata; Hyperoartia; Petromyzontiformes; Petromyzontidae
Source: RefSeq, a predicted model, not a curated record
CUCGGAGCCUCCUCGCCACGUGUCGAGAGGUCAAUGUCGCAGUGAAAUUCACUCACGAGGCGACUGUCUCUGGUCUUGGUGUGCUCCUUUGACUGUCGGUGUUUUGCCGUCUUGCCCAAGCUUGGAUAUGAUGUUGACAAAUCUACAGGAAGGAACUUCCAAUCGUGGAGCGACGCACGAAUGAAGAGGCGCGAAUGAAGAGACCCGACUUCCCAUCGGGACAUGAUGGCUGGCAGGCGGUUGAUGCUAUCCCGCAGGAAGCGAGCGCAGUUUCCGAGGAGGAGCGCCGCGUGGUGGUGUAAGCACUCAGCCUGCUGAAGCGCGGGAGUGCAGAGAGGCGACCCCACGAGGUGGAGACAGGAGGGACAGGGUCCUCCUGGGGGAACAAAGCGAGCGGCGUCCUGGCGGGGUCGAGAGGGCAGGAGACGCAGCGGAUAUUGGCAGGGCUCUGGAUAGCGGCGCGUUCUGGUGCGCGAGCCUGCGAGCGCGUACCUGCACCUGGCCGUGGACCACUUCGCACUCGUGCUGGUGGCGUGUGCGCCGGUGCUCGACAUGGCGCCGAGAUCGCGCGCGUGCACGUGACCCGUGUGCGCUCCCCACGCUUGCACGUGAUGGAGGGGACCCACGUGGGUCGCGAUCUCAUCUCCGAGCUCUGCUUCACGAACCCCGUGGCACGCGCCCUGCACCGCGUGCGCGUCCGCGUAGAGGGAGCCGGCGUGCCCGCGCCGGGCAACAUACUUGUCGGCAACGUGGAGGGGCACGGCUACACGCGCGUGCCCGUGGUUCCCAAGCGCCGCGGGGAGCUCACGCUGAUCGCGAGCCUCGACUGCACGGAGCUGCCGCAGGUGCACGGGGGAGCCACCUUCCAGUGCGAGCCCUGAGACUUCAACAUCACCACCAUCAUCAACAUCAUGAGUCAACCACCAUCAUCAGCAUCGAGAGUGGUACCACCAUGAUCGUGAUCGAGUGAACUAUCAUGAACGUGUUCAUCAUCAUCAUUAUCAUCAAGGUUGCACUCAUGACACACAAAGUGCUUGCCACAAAUAUAUCACAAAUUCCUUGCUGAUCUCGUCAAGGAGCGUAAACCAUCACGAGAACUCCGC